GAGGGACAAAGGGCUAAAAGAACAAGCAUAACAGGCAUGUACCUCUGCAAGCCUAACUGAAAAUUCCUUUAUUCUUCCAGUGGCCAGAACUGGGUCAUAUGGUCUCCCCUAAGUGCAGAUUAUCCCAACCUGCACUCUGGAAAGGAUGUAGUAACUGGAGUUAGUCCCCUGCUCUUCAGGAAACUCAGUAAUCCUGACAUAUUUUCAUCCACUGGAAAAGUUAAACUUCAGCGACAACUGAGUCAGGAUGAUUGUAAGUUAUGGAGAGGAAACCUGGCCAGCUCUCUAUCGGGUAAGCAGCUGCUCCCUUUGUCCAGCAGUGUACAUAGCAGUGUGGGACAGGUGACUUGGCAGUCGUCAGGAGAAGCAUCAAACCUGGUUCGAAUGAGAAACCAGUCCCUUGGACAGUCUGCACCUUCUCUUACUGCUGGCCUGAAGGAGUUGAGCCUUCCAAGAAGAGGCAGCUUAAUCUCUACCCUUUGCCGAGGAGCUGAAGUAAACCAGCACAUGUUUUCACCCACAUCCGCUCCAGCCCUCUUCCUCACUAAAGUCCCAUUUAGUGCUGAUUGUGCUUUGGCUACUUCUCCUCUUGCCAUUUUCCUGAACCCACGAGCCCACAGCAGUCCUGGCACUCCUUG
RNAcentral lists this small RNA (638 nucleotides) under Pan troglodytes (chimpanzee). RNAcentral's name for it is "processed transcript". The record is from RNAcentral. Lineage: Eukaryota; Metazoa; Chordata; Mammalia; Primates; Hominidae.